Pantherophis guttatus is the source of this 499-nucleotide non-coding RNA. The record is from RefSeq and is a predicted model, not a curated record. NCBI's taxonomy places the organism in Eukaryota, Metazoa, Chordata, Lepidosauria, Squamata, Colubridae.
AGGAAGAAGAGUCAGAGAGGAAAAAUGUUGUUUUCAAUAGUUUGCAGUCAGAAGGAGAUGGUGAAAACGAGGCUGUGCAAGAAAAAAGGUGUAGAAGCCAAUUCAAUUCCCUGCAGAGUGCCAGAUAUGCGGCUUUUUUGGAGGAAUCUGUGUUGGAUUAUGGCUACAUGGAAAGAUUUUUAGAAUCAACAUUGAUAUUAAUACAUUUCUAUUUUGCUUUUUCGGCAGAAUAGGAGAAGAGGAUUUUUAACACGUAUUUUCAGCCUCAAACAGAAGAGGGGUGGGGGUGGGGGAUAAGGCCAGAAUUUUGGGCUCUCCUCCUCUCCCCUUUCAUUUUGUAUGCUUGAAAUUAUGUUUUUUUUUUAAUGUUAAGGUGCACUAUUUUGGUUUUUAUUUAAAAUAUAUACAAAAAAAAAAUUCCUUGUAUCAAAAAAUUAGUGGUUUUUUCACCAGAUUUUGGUGAUUCAUGUUUUCAAGUUUCAAUAAAGACUUUGUGGCC